UAGGGAAUCUUCCACAAUGGACGCAAGUCUGAUGGAGCAACGGCCGCGUGAGUGAAGAAGGUCUUCGGAUCGUAAAGCUCUGUUGUUGGUGAAGAAGGAUAGAGGCAGUAACUGGUCUUUAUUUGACGGUAAUCAACCAGAAAGUCACGGCUAACUACGUGCCAGCAGCCGCGGUAAUACGUAGGUGGCAAGCGUUGUCCGGAUUUAUUGGGCGUAAAGCGAGCGCAGGCGGAAUGAUAAGUCUGAUGUGAAAGCCCACGGCUCAACCGUGGAACUGCAUCGGAAACUGUCAUUCUUGAGUGCAGAAGAGGAGAGUGGAACUCCAUGUGUAGCGGUGGAAUGCGUAGAUAUAUGGAAGAACACCAGUGGCGAAGGCGGCUCUCUGGUCUGCAACUGACGCUGAGGCUCGAAAGCAUGGGUAGCGAACAGGAUUAGAUACCCUGGUAGUCCAUGCC
Molecule: ribosomal RNA, 455 nt
Filed under: uncultured bacterium
Lineage: Bacteria
Description: partial 16S ribosomal RNA
Rfam family: Bacterial small subunit ribosomal RNA
Source: RNAcentral